GCCGGGGUGGCGGAACAGGCAGACGCUGGGGACUUAAAAUCCCCUGGCCGACAGGCCAUGCCGGUUCGACUCCGGCCCCCGGCA
RNAcentral lists this transfer RNA (84 nucleotides) under Caldifarciminota bacterium. Its description in RNAcentral is "candidate division WOR-3 bacterium (sediment metagenome) tRNA-Leu". It matches the Rfam family "tRNA". From Rfam's summary of the family: Transfer RNA (tRNA) molecules are approximately 80 nucleotides in length. Lineage: Bacteria; Pseudomonadati; Caldifarciminota. The record is from RNAcentral.